Molecule: ribosomal RNA, 426 nt
Filed under: uncultured bacterium
Lineage: Bacteria
Description: bacterial SSU rRNA
Rfam family: Bacterial small subunit ribosomal RNA
Source: RNAcentral
AUUGAACGCUGGCGGCAGGCCUAACACAUGCAAGUCGAGCGGUAGAGAGGUGCUUGCAUCUCUUGAGAGCGGCGGACGGGUGAGUAAUGCCUAGGAAUCUGCCCUAGUGGUGGGGGAUAACGUUCGGAAACGGACGCUAAUACCGCAUACGUCCUACGGGAGAAAGCGGGGGGAUCUUCGGACCUCGCGCCAUUAGAUGAGCCUAGGUCGGAUUAGCUAGUUGGUGAGGUAAUGGCUCACCAAGGCGACGAUCCGUAACUGGUCUGAGAGGAUGAUCAGUCACACUGGAACUGAGACACGGUCCAGACUCCUACGGGAGGCAGCAGUGGGGAAUAUUGGACAAUGGGCGAAAGCCUGAUCCAGCCAUGCCGCGUGUGUGAAGAAGGUCUUCGGAUUGUAAAGCACUUUAAGUUGGGAGGAAGGGUA